Molecule: ribosomal RNA, 253 nt
Filed under: uncultured bacterium
Lineage: Bacteria
Description: partial 16S ribosomal RNA
Rfam family: Bacterial small subunit ribosomal RNA
Source: RNAcentral
UACAGAGACUGCAAGCGUUAUUCGGAUUCAUUGGGCGUAAAGGGUGCGUAGGCGGCGCGGUAAGUCGGGUGUGAAAUCUCGGGGCUUAACUCCGAAACUGCAUUCGAUACUGCCGUGCUUGAGGACUGGAGAGGAGACUGGAAUUUACGGUGUAGCGGUGAAAUGCGUAGAUAUCGUAAGGAAGACCAGUGGCGAAGGCGGGUCUCUGGACAGUUCCUGACGCUGAGGCACGAAGGCCAGGGGAGCAAACGGG